AGUGAACGCUGGCGGCAGGCCUAACACAUGCAAGUCGAGCGGCAGCGCGUCCGACCACCCUCGGGUGGUCGGAUGGCGGCGAGCGGCGGACGGGUGAGGAAUGCAUCGGAAUCUGCCUCGUUGUGGGGGAUAACGUAGGGAAACUUACGCUAAUACCGCAUACGACCUACGGGUGAAAGUGGGGGACCUUCGGGCCUCACGCGAUGAGAUGAGCCGAUGCCGGAUUAGCUAGUUGGCGGGGUAAAGGCCCACCAAGGCGACGAUCCGUAGCUGGUCUGAGAGGAUGAUCAGCCACACUGGAACUGAGACACGGUCCAGACUCCUACGGGAGGCAGCAGUGGGGAAUAUUGGACAAUGGGGGCAACCCUGAUCCAGCCAUGCCGCGUAUGUGAAGAAGGCCUUCGGUGUAAG
RNAcentral lists this ribosomal RNA (411 nucleotides) under uncultured bacterium. Its description in RNAcentral is "bacterial SSU rRNA". It matches the Rfam family "Bacterial small subunit ribosomal RNA", at positions 30 to 429 of the family's 1533-position model. The record is from RNAcentral.